CCUACGGGUGGCAGCAGUCGAGAAUCAUUCACAAUGGGGGAAACCCUGAUGGUGCGACGCCGCGUGGGGGAAUGAAGGUCUUCGGAUUGUAAACCCCUGUCAUGUGGGAGCAAAUUAAAAAGAUAGUACCACAAGAGGAAGAGACGGCUAACUCUGUGCCAGCAGCCGCGGUAAUACAGAGGUCGCAAGCGUUGUUCGGAAUCACUGGGCGUAAAGCGUGCGUAGGCUGUUUCGUAAGUCGUGUGUGAAAGGCGCGGGCUCAACCCGCGGACGGCACAUGAUACUGCGAGACUAGAGUGAUGGAGGGGGAACCGGAAUUCUCGGUGUAGCAGUGAAAUGCGUAGAUAUCGAGAGGAACACUCGUGGCGAAGGCGGGUUCCUGGACAUUAACUGACGCUGAGGCACGAAGGCCAGGGGAGCGAAAGGGAUUAGAUACCCGAGUAGUC
Molecule: ribosomal RNA, 446 nt
Filed under: uncultured bacterium
Lineage: Bacteria
Description: partial 16S ribosomal RNA
Rfam family: Bacterial small subunit ribosomal RNA
Source: RNAcentral